AGAAACGAAACAGUGAUGUGGAGUAAAACUUAGAAAAACGGUACUCAGUUCGGAUUGAAGGCUGAAAUUCGCCUUCAUGAAGCUGGAAUUGCUAGUAAUGGCAGGUCAGCAUACUGCCGUGAAUACGUUCCCGGGCCUUGUACACACCGCCCGUCACACCAUGAGAGUUGGAAAUACCCGAAGCCUGUGAGCUAACUUUUAGAGGCAGCAGUCGAAGGUAGAGCCAAUGAUUGGGGUGAAGUCGUAACAAGGUAGC
RNAcentral lists this ribosomal RNA (256 nucleotides) under uncultured bacterium. Its description in RNAcentral is "partial 16S ribosomal RNA". It matches the Rfam family "Bacterial small subunit ribosomal RNA", at positions 1245 to 1500 of the family's 1533-position model. The record is from RNAcentral.